Onchocerca ochengi is the source of this 297-nucleotide non-coding RNA. The record is from Rfam. NCBI's taxonomy places the organism in Eukaryota, Metazoa, Nematoda, Chromadorea, Rhabditida, Onchocercidae.
CCUUACACUUCUGAUUAUCUAACUAUGUAUGUUUCAUUAUCUGAAACUUUGUAUGGUGGAUAAUUUGACUGGGACAGUCGCCUUCUAAAAUGUAACGGAGAUUUGCGAAGGUAAACUAGAGUUGGCUGGAAAUCAGUUUAAUAGUAGUACGAUAACACCAAUUUGCCUGAUUAUGAGGUUGAAAAGUCAAGCAGAGACGAAAGUCAAAUCAUUAGUGAUCCGAUGAUUCUCCAUGGAAAGGUAAAAAAAUUCAAUCAAGCUGAAAAAUAAGGAGCUCGUAUAUAUCGUUGCUAUGAG